GCCCCGAGCCAGCGGUGGCAGCGCUGCGGAGAACACCCCGGGCUCCCCGCCCCGCCCCUCCGAUGGAGCUGGUCCCGCUCGCCAGUGCCUAUUUAGCUUCUCCUGAAUGAUUUACAUGACUACAAAUUUUCAUUUGCUGCUGCAGGUGGACAGUGUUUGAUGCUCCUUCUGGUUCUCCCCUGAGUCCAUCUACUCAAACCACAGGCAAAUGCUGUGCUUCUACUGAAGUUUAUUUCAGUUCAUAAUAACGUCAAAAUAAAAUGCUGGCGACUGUCUGAUGAGUCUAAAGGAAGCCUUAGACUUGGUUACAUAAAUUGAAUUGAGCUUGCCAAGGUGACCUUCAAAAACUUCUUGGACGUAUGAGGAGUGACAUGUGAUGACCUCAAACCACAAGUAAUUCUAAUACAACUUACUCACAGAAGAACCUUUUGGGAAGGUACCAGGACUUUAACUGAGCUUAACGCAAGACUACAGACAUUGGGGACAUUGGAAAACAUGCAAACUAUUUGGAAUUCAAGGACAGAAGUUUUCCCCACAGUUCGUGAUCAUUCAGCUGUGUGUCCUGAAUUCACACCCAGGGUCCCCCCUGCAGAGCAGCACGAGGCCAGCUGUGCCUUCAGCUGGGAUUUUUGCUUUUGCUUUCUGAAGUACCAAUACCAGAGCCUUCCUGCUCAGCCCUUGGCAGUUCCUCCUUUCAAGGCCAUUUCUGCUCUUCCUCUGAUGUUUCUGCCAGCACCAGGUGGGUCAGAGGACCAUUGCUCUAUCCAGUUUCUGAAGAGGAUGCCAGUGCUGUUAGUGACCUGUGUCUAGUCCAGGAUCCUUUUUAUCUGCACCCCUGGACAAAGCUUUAGUCACAGCCUCAUGGAAAAUAAAUGCAGCCAUUUUACAUGGAGAUUCUCUGAUCUCAGAGCAAAAUUUUAUUAGUCAAGGACAGCACCACAUAUGUGUCCUAGGUGAUACUCAUGGGAAUACAAGUAACAGAACUGGCUAAAGCAUAGAGAAUAGUGAGGGCAAUUCACUUUUCACACAAAUUGUCAGUGACUGUAAAAGAGCUGAUGGUCUCCUUGGUCAUGUAACCUGCAGCCACUACCAAACCUGCUAUUAAAUAUCCAUAUCCUGAAGACUCUGCAAAAUAGUACCUCACACAGCAGCAGAGGGGAGGGCUUUCUCCUCUCUGGCUCCCUGUAACUCUUGGAGGCUCACCUCAAACUUUCAUAUUCAAAUAGCUUGAUAUUAAUCUCAAAAUUCCUGAAGUUUUUCUGUGUGCGUAAUGUGAGAUUGGCUUAAAAUUCCUGAGUCUUAUAUUUAAACUCUGAACGCCUUUUAAUCCUGUUCUAACAUUUUAUUAAUUUGAAAUUACCUUGAUUGGUGGUGGUGGUGUAGCUGUGAUGCUUUCAGUUUAAACAAGAUCAGCUUUGUAGGGAGAGAUGGUGUCUUUGACUGGACCUCAGAAGGAUUUUGCCUGCUUGAAAAUUUGACUAUUAGUAAAUGCCUCUCCCUACUAAGCACCAGAAAUUUGUUUCAUGAAUCUUUGAAGAGGCGUUGAACAUUGCAGAAUCCUGGCAAUGUAUGCUCUGGAGUGGCUGUAACUUCUCAGCUUUACUGGCUUCUCUGUAUAUUUCUAAUAGUUGACACCUCAGAUUUUAAGACUUUGAAAGUAAAAGGCUCCUCUUCUGGUUACUUCUCUUUGGGAAAAUUGUUCUGCUCCCACAUCACUGGAUGAACUGGAUGUUAACAAUGCUAAUUGGGGUGUAUUUAUGCAGAGGCAGCAGCUGUCAAGGGAAGACACUGUGAUCUGUAUUCCCCAACACUGCUUAUAGGGACUCUCUAAUUCUUUUAUGAAGUGAAAUGAAGCAGAAAGGCUGAACAAAUGAAAUCUUCUGACUACUGGCUUCGCUUCAGUCGGGAUGAAGAUCUAACACUUUGGAUGCCAUUCAUGUUUCCUGUUUAAAGAGAGGGGUUUUUUUCUUGAGCAGGAGUCUGAGUAAGCCCAUCUGGAAGCCAGCUUUGCAGACUACUCCCAGAGCAGCAAGCACCACUGGUAAAGUAAAGACUACAAUUAAUUUUUUUUUCUUUAAUCAUGUCAUAGUCCUAUUCCAUAGAACACUAAUUUAUUUUGGUUCCAUACCAGCAUAUUUAUACCAUGGAAAGAAGCAAACAGGUGACACCCACUUCUGCAGAACACCACUGGAGCUCUCUAAGCAUUUCCUCUGAGUAUUCUUUGUAAGUGAAAUGAGUCAGCGAAGUGGGGGAGCAUUGCUCUGUGUUCAUAGCCUGCAGGCUCCCCUCAGCAGGGGCCUGUGGUGAGUGACAGGAACUGGUUAAGUUUGCGUGAUGGUGAGAGCAAUGAAAUAAUUUCUCAUGCUAAGGCUGGCUGUACAAGCUGAGGUUUCCACCCUCUCUGAGGAGAUGAUGUUUUUCUCUGCCACACACUGGGUGCAGCUGUCAGCUCCUGGCAGCUGCAGGAAGGCUCUUGCCGUAAUCCUCUGCAGAUUCCACUAAACAUAAGCUAACAUGCAACGUAUAGCAUCUGUAUUAGGUUCUCAAGUAGGAUUUGCCAUGAAAGUUAUGUUAAUUCAUCUUAUCUUAGCGUGACUCGCCUGCAGUUUGGGCUGGAUGACUCUAUGGGAGAGGCCAGACUCUUCUUGUUGUUGUAAGUAGUGGGAUUAGGAUGUCUGCUGCUCACAUUCACCUGCCUUUUUUCAAGUCACUUCUAAAAUGCCACUUAUUCAGAGCUCCCUGCUAACUUUGGCAGCUUGAAUCUGGAGUUUUCCUGUUUCAGCAGAUGACUUUGUUGGCUCCAGGUCUUUUGAAAUUCCUGGACAAACACAAUUUACUGCCAGACUGAUCAGUCCCAAGCAUAAAUUACAAGCAGCAGAAGCUCAGGUUAGGGAUGUAAAUAUGACUGACUUCCAACCCAUUUAUUCCAACUCAUUGAUCUGUUAAUUUCAAAUAAUUAAUUAAAUUCUGUGAUGAUGUGAUAGGUAGUCUGAAAAAAAAACCCUUGAAGGAUUAAGAUGGUUUUCCAGACUUCAGUCAGCAUGUCCACAUUGCAUCUUUUAUGCAGUACAAAACAAACACCAGGAACAACUGAACUUUAUAUUCUUGUGUUUGUUUCAUAUAGUUCUGUGUGCAGUAUAAGAAAAUAAAUCUAAACUAGUAUGUAUCUUCUAAAGCUGAAACCUGAUACUUGUCUGUGCUAAAAGUUGCCCUUCAGUGAAUUUUCUUAGAAAUACCAAGGAAAGGAAGACAGUCAGUCUCAGACUCCUCCAUUACAGAGUAAUGCAUUAGUACAAAGUACAAACCUUAAAAACAACCCCAAAAACCUAAAACUUUGUUUGAAACACAGUUAGUGACUUCUCAGUGCUAGGAAAGUGAAAUAGAAAUAAAAUUGAAGAACCUUUUCUGUACACUUUGACCCUUGGACUGGGGUGGAGAUAUUUUUUAAAACUCCUUUGGGUAGGAUGAAAGGCUGUAAUAGAUCAGAACUUCUGGCCAAGGGAAAGGAGGAUUUUUGUGCUUGUGUAAUACCAGCCUUUUACCAAAAUUAGAGAGGGGAGCAGAGAAUUUCUUCCAUUUUAAGUAGUACUGUCAGUAAGAGCACGGAAAGGUCUGAGCUGGACAGAAAAUUUCUAAUUGCAGCUUCUUUGAAAAUCGCUUUUCACGGAGAUCUGGGGUCAAAUUCUUUUCUAAGGUCUCUUGGCACCAUACCAACAAAACAGUGCCAGUGUAAUUGAGGGAGCCCUGGCUCCUGCUAUGCUCUGGGCUGUUAUCCAGGUGUAGUUUGACCUUUGUGUUUUACCCAUACUGUGACCAUCUCACAUGCACGUCAGUGUGAGGAAUAAUGUCCUUGAAGAUUGCUUUGAAGAGAGGCACCCAUUGUAGUAGCAGGCAGAAGAAGAUUGAUUCCUUUCUUUUAAUCUGUGCAAACCAAAACUCUGUCUCACCCAGGGUGCUCUCAGGAAAUCCGCUCAUGUUUAACCCACUGUAAUUUACAGCCUGUCAGGCACCAACUCAUUGCCUUUUCCAACUGUGUGUUGAGCUUCCUCUGCUCCCCUUAAAUCAGAGGAUUAUCACUGUGGGGUCACCUCCAGAAACCAGCCUGUUGAGGCAUCAGACUUUCCUUGCAGCUUUGGAAUGUGUCUCUGUGCUUGGCUGAGACAGUUCUUUGGUAAGAGCUUUGCAGAUAAUUCAAUGCAACUUUGCAUUUUACUGAAAGACAAGGAUUUUCUGGUUUGGGAAAACAAAUCCAUUUCUUGAUGCAGAUUGCCAGCACUCCUGCCCUUCUUAUAACACAGUUUCUAGAAGGCAAAUCCUUUAAAAGGGACCUUUUAGUCUCUCCUGAAGAUUACACUCUUGUAGGGGUCUUGCCUUCAUCUGUAGAUUUAAUGGCUUAAUAAGCAUUAGACCCUCCUGUUAUGCAGUAACAAAUAGGAAUACAAUACUUUUAUCAAUAUUUGGCACAAUUAAUUUUUUUUUAUGUGAAACUAAAUAUUGAUGCUGUCAAGUGACUGCAGCUCAGGGACAUAAAUUACAAAUAUUCUUUUCCUAUGAGCCUUGCUCAAAUUUUGCAUUCAUAUACAGUAACCAUCUAAUGUCUUUCUAUUCCUGUAAGCCAUAUGAUUUGAUUGCCAGAUUACAUGGUUCUGUAUUGUGCUUAGAUGUCAGUGUUUUUAUUGUUAUUACCAAUAUUAUCUUUUAUCCUUACUGUAAGUGGUAACAAAAAGUUAACUGCUUCCUUACACUAUAAAAAGAAUAAAGUCCCAUUUACAGAAUAUCUCUAAACAGAAAAUAUCUCUGGAAAAAAGAUAUACGAAUAAAUAAUUCACAACAUCAUGGGUGAGUAGAAAAAAAAGGGGUUUGAUGUAUUUUGCUACUCAAAAUAAAACCAGAUUUUUUAGACUGGCUAUUUUAGUGGAGAACAAAAGCUCUUUUAAAGAAGAAUGAUUGCAGGGGGAUCAGUUCUCCGUGCAUUUUUACCCGUUCUGCACUUUUGUUGGUAACAGGACUUGUGACAUUGAUUAAUCCAUCCCCUUGGUUUUCCCAAUUCUUUUCUCUGUUCCAUCCUCCUGCUUUUGCAUUAGCUUAUUUCUUGGCUUAUUUUCUAAAGAAAAUGUCAACCCACCCACCCACCCAAGAGAAACCAUAACAUUUCAAGGAUUUCGGGCUGCGGCAAAGCGAAUUAGCCUGUCUGUAAUAUAAACAGACAGCAAAUAAAUUCUUGAAGGCCUUGGAAUUAAAGUCUCCCAUCUUAAACCCCCCCAUACUUUCAGUACAUUACACUCCAGAUUUCCACAUAGGUGGAAUAAGUAUACAAUAAUAAUUAUCCCGAGAGCAUCCCCGGGAAAAUCAGGACGGGCAUUUUCCUGUUUUCUCAUGAAACCGGAGGAGCUCCAUCAGCUCUGCAGGAAACAUCGAGCGGCGACAAACCCCCCGGGACGGCUCGGGAGGGCUCACACCGGCUGGGGACAAAGAGCAGAGCGGGGUCUGCAGGGCGGGGCCGAGUCACAGCGAACGGUAUCACACCGCUCAAUCAGACUUUUACGUUAGUUUUUUGCACGUUAAGGAGCCGAUCCUGAGCCGAACUCAGGCAAAGCGAGGACCAGCCAGGCGCCGGGUGCCCCAUCCCGGUGUGGGGGUGCCGGCUCGGUGCAGCCGCUGCGGUCAAUGAGAACCACCUGGGGACACGCGAUGAGCCCCAGGCCCGGCACAGCGCGGGAAAUAUGUAAUGGUGAUGGGUGUGGUGCGGUCCUGCAGUCCUGAGCCUGUUCUUCGAGCAAUAAAGAUGACAGAUCUCUCUGAA
Pipra filicauda (Wire-tailed manakin) is the source of this 5803-nucleotide RNA transcript. It is a transcript of the gene named RecQ mediated genome instability 2, with no coding region annotated. The transcript is spliced from 6 exons. The record is from RefSeq and is a predicted model, not a curated record. NCBI's taxonomy places the organism in Eukaryota, Metazoa, Chordata, Aves, Passeriformes, Pipridae.